CAGAUAGAAUUAUUCUCUCUCCUCUGAAGUCGGACCCCCCAUCAUCUCCAGCACCCAGACCCAGCACGCCCUCCACGGCGAGAAGGGCCAGAUCAAGUGCUUCAUCCGGAGCACACCGCCGCCGGACCGCAUCGCCUGGUCCUGGAAGGAGAAUGUUCUGGAGUCGGGGACAUCGGGGCGCUAUACGGUGGAGACCAUCAGCACCGAGGAGGGCGUCAUCUCCACCCUGAGCAUCAGCAACAUCGUGCGGGCCGACUUCCAGACCAUCUACAACUGCACGGCCUGGAACAGCUUCGGCUCCGACACCGAGAUCAUCCGGCUCAAGGAGCAAGAGUCUGUGCCGAUGGCCGUCAUCAUUGGGGUGGCCGUAGGAGCUGGCGUGGCCUUCCUCGUCCUUAUGGCAACCAUCGUGGCCUUCUGCUGUGCCCGUUCCCAGAGAAAUCUCAAAGGUGUCGUGUCAGCCAAAAAUGAUAUCCGAGUGGAAAUUGUCCACAAGGAACCGGCCACUGGUCGGGAGGCUGAGGAGCACUCCACCAUCAAGCAGCUGAUG
Molecule: small RNA, 550 nt
Filed under: Pongo abelii (Sumatran orangutan)
Lineage: Eukaryota; Metazoa; Chordata; Mammalia; Primates; Hominidae
Description: processed transcript
Source: RNAcentral